CAACAACAAGAGUCAUUUUAAAACACACUUCAAGAAAACCACGAUAGCACACCAACCAAUUUAAAAAUGUACUCGUUUGUUAAAGCCACCGACUUCUUCACCAUCCUGUUCUUUCUAGCCACUGCAACUGUCGCAAUCUCCUUUAACACAUCUGAACUAGAUGUGCUCGAGAGGGCUCGAGCUUCGGUGGUUGAAGCGAGAACUAGGUUUGGUUCAAUGGCAACGGUUGAGGCAACAAAUGAAGUUGCUAGAAGUUAUUAUAGUUUGGGUUUAAGUGACUGUGAGAAGCUAUACGAUGAAAGUGAGGCAAGAUUGUCAAACCUUGUAGUGGCUCAUGAGAAUUUCACCGUUGAAGAUGUCAGAACGUGGCUAAGCGGCGUGCUCGCUAACCAUCACACUUGUUUAGACGGCUUGGAUCAGUCACGUCAAGGCGACAAGCCUUUGGUCCAUAGUAACAUUACGGUUGUUCUGGGAGAAGCUUUGGCUUUCUACAAAAAAACUAGAGGUCAUCUAAAAAAGAGGAGACCUAACCAUGCACCGACGAGACAACACCAUGCAAUGACUAGACCACACCAUGGACCGACGAGACCAAAUCAUGGACCAGCCAGACCAUACCAUGGACCGGCCAGACCAAAUCAGAGCGGAGGAAUGUUAGUGUCAUGGAAUCCGACAGGGUCAAGGGCGGAUUUCGUGGUGGCUAAGGACGGUUCAGCAACUCAUCGGUCGAUAAGCGAGGCAUUAGCCGCCGUUUCAAGAAUGGGUAAAAGUCGGACGAAUAGAGUGAUAAUCUACAUAAAAGCGGGUGUGUAUAACGAAAAAAUCGAAUUAGAUAGACACAUGAAGAACAUCAUGCUAGUUGGUGAUGGUAUGGACCGUACAAUCAUCACCAAUAACCGAAAUGUCCCGGAUGGUUCCUCGACUUAUGGAUCAGCCACAUUCGGGGUGUCCGGAGAUGGAUUUUGGGCACGGGACAUGACGUUCGAGAACACGGCAGGACCACAUAAACAUCAAGCUGUGGCAUUGAGAGUGAACUCGGAUUUGUCUGUAUUCUAUCGGUGUAGCUUCAGAGGAUAUCAAGACACUCUUUUCACACACUCGCUUCGUCAAUUCUACCGCGACUGCCAUAUUUAUGGUACGAUUGAUUUCAUAUUUGGAGAUGCGUCUGCUGUUUUCCAAAACUGUGAUAUAUUUGUCAGACGGCCAAUGGAUCACCAAGGCAAUAUGAUCACAGCUCAAGGAAGAGACAACCCACAUGAAAAUACAGGCAUAUCGAUCCAAAACUCACGGGUCCGGGCCUCACCAGAAUUUGAGGCGGUUAAAGGCCAGUUUAAGAGCUACUUGGGCCGGCCGUGGAAGAAAUACUCUCGGACGGUGUUUCUCAAGACGGAUCUCGACGGGUUGAUUGACCCAAGAGGGUGGAGAGAAUGGAGAGGAGAUUUCGCUCUAUCAACUUUGUAUUACGGCGAGUUUAUGAACACCGGAAGUGGAGCAGGGACUAGUAGAAGGGUGAGCUGGCCAGGGUUUCACGUUCUUCACGGCGCCGACGAAGCUUCUCCGUUCACUGUCAGCCGAUUUAUACAAGGAGAUUCUUGGAUCCCUAUCACCGGGGUACCAUUUUCUGCCGGGGUUUGAGUCGGUCUUUAAGUAACUCGAUGAAGCCAGAGGAGUCGACCAGAGCUGAGUAAGACGCAUUCUCUUCCGAAGCCGUCAUGGUCCUAGACACCGUUCUGGUCCUGACCACUAACUAUUCUAUGAUCUAAACCAGCUAUUUCAUACAACUCUAACCUCUGAGGUUGUCCUAGACACCGUUCUGGUCCUGACCACUUCCAUGAUCUAAACCAGAUAUUUCACACAACUCUAACCUCUGAGAUACGUGACAUGAACCUUGGGGUAUCAGUGGGGUUUGAGCCGGUCUUUAAGUAACUCGAUAAUAAUAUCAACGCGCAGAAAUAUACAGAAGCCUGAGGAAGAGACCAGAGCUGAGUAAAACGCAUUAUCAUCCGAACCCGUCAUGGUCUUAGGUCCGACUUGUUUCCCCGGGUGGUAUCACAAACGAGCUUUUACGAUUGGUAGGGAUCGACAUCAUUUCGAAACAAUCAUAUAAACCGCUACAAAUUGUUUUAAACCGUUCCGAACUUCUUAAAAUCAAAAACUGAUUCUAUCUAACGUUUGCGGUUGCGGAUGGAUAAAUUAAUAUAAAAUUAUUUUAAAAAAUAUUUUUAAAAUUUAAAAUUAAAAUUUUAAAAUAGAAAUAUUAGAAAUAUAUACACAUAUUUUAUAUAUUAAUUUAAAUUCACAAAGAGUAACAUAAGUAAACAUAAUAUUAUUAUAAAUCAUAUUAUAUUAAUAAUCAUUAUAUUUUAUCACAAUAAUAUGUUUUUAUAGUUUUAUAAUGUUAUAAUAUGUUAAUAUUGAUAAUUUAUUAUUAAACCGUUGCAAUAUUUCAUAAUUAACCAGUUAUAAAUAUCCUGCAAACGCAAUAAUUUUUAAAUAUUAUGCCAGUCGUAAUGUUUAAUAACGCUUGGAACUGUAAUCUGCAUCCGUAAAUUUCCGCAUCCACAACCGUAAAUUCUUGUGAACCAGUCUGGCCCAAGACGAUGAGUUCUCUAAGCCCAUUAUCUUAUUUUGGGUCUGUUCUAUACAUUUUUGAACUUGACUAUAUAAUGACUUCACCAAUCGACUACAGAAUCCUAGCCAGUAUACUAUUCGUCAGUAGAUGUUGGGGCUGGACAUUUGGAUAUUAUGCAAGGUUCAUGUCAGAUAUUCAGAUAACAUAUUUCGGUUUGAAAAUAUUGAACUAAUCUGAACCCACACCAAAAUUUAAUUAUAAUUUGAGUAUUUAGAAUACUAAAAACAUAAUAAAUAUUUAGGUAUAUAUUAAUAUUUUGUAUUAGUAGAUUUUUGGUUUGCGUUUGGAUUGUCUUUUUUUUUUUGAAUAUAUCGUUUAAAUAUACAUCAUAUUGGAUUUGAUAUUAGUAUGUGUGGUAAACAAGGUAACGAUAUAUAUUCCUUGUGCUAAAAUUGGUAACUAGCAUCUCUUUGUGGAUUUAUAAAAUUCUUUUAGAAUUUUAUUUUUAUCAUGGCGGAAUAUCCAAAGA
This is an RNA transcript of Brassica napus (rape), 3098 nucleotides long. It is a transcript of the gene named probable pectinesterase/pectinesterase inhibitor 36, with no coding region annotated. NCBI's taxonomy places the organism in Eukaryota, Viridiplantae, Streptophyta, Magnoliopsida, Brassicales, Brassicaceae. The record is from RefSeq and is a predicted model, not a curated record. The transcript is spliced from 8 exons.